UCGGGAAUUUUGGGCAAUGGGGGAAAGCCUGACCCAGCAACGCCGCGUGAAGGAUGAAGUAUUUCGGUAUGUAAACUUCGAAAGAAUAGGAAGAAUAAAUGACGGUACUAUUUAUAAGGUCCGGCUAACUACGUGCCAGCAGCCGCGGUAAUACGUAGGGACCAAGCGUUGUUCGGAUUUACUGGGCGUAAAGGGCGCGUAGGCGGCAAUUCAAGUCAUCUGUGAAAUCUCCGGGCUUAACUCGGAACGGUCAGAUGAUACUGCUUUGCUAGAGUGCAGAAGGGGCAAUCGGAAUUCUUGGUGUAGCGGUGAAAUGCGUAGAUAUCAAGAGGAACACCUGAGGUGAAGACGGGUUGCUGGGCUGACACUGACGCUGAGGCGCGAAAGCCAGGGGAGCAAACGGGAUUAGAUACCCUCGUAGUCCCUGAGCGGGCUGGCAAGGCGCAU
RNAcentral lists this ribosomal RNA (447 nucleotides) under uncultured bacterium. Its description in RNAcentral is "bacterial SSU rRNA". It matches the Rfam family "Bacterial small subunit ribosomal RNA", at positions 355 to 825 of the family's 1533-position model. The record is from RNAcentral.